GCCUACCAAGGCUACGAUGGGUAGCUGGUCUGAGAGGAUGAUCAGCCACACUGGAACUGAGACACGGUCCAGACUCCUACGGGAGGCAGCAGUGGGGAAUAUUGCGCAAUGGGCGAAAGCCUGACGCAGCAACGCCGCGUGGGUGAAGAAGGCCUUCGGGUUGUAAAGCCCUGUCAGGUGGGAAGAAAGGUCAAAGGUUAAUAGCCCUUUGUCUCUGACGGUACCACCAGAGGAAGCACCGGCUAACUCCGUGCCAGCAGCCGCGGUAAUACGGAGGGUGCGAGCGUUGUUCGGAAUUACUGGGCGUAAAGCGGGNGUAGGCGGUGGAUCAAGUCAGAUGUGAAAGCCCUCGGCUCAACCGAGGAAGUGCACCUGACACUGGUUCUCUAGAGUACGGGAGAGGAAGAGGG
RNAcentral lists this ribosomal RNA (410 nucleotides) under uncultured bacterium. Its description in RNAcentral is "bacterial SSU rRNA". It matches the Rfam family "Bacterial small subunit ribosomal RNA", at positions 263 to 664 of the family's 1533-position model. The record is from RNAcentral.